AGGCAACGAAGCGUGGACGCCAGUCUGCGCGGAGCCAUCCUUGAAAUACCACCCUUUAACGUUUGAUGUUCUAACCCGGGUCCGUAAUCCGGAUCGGGGACCGUGUCUGGUGGGUAGUUUGACUGGGGCGGUCUCCUCCCAAAGAGUAACGGAGGAGCACGAAGGUUGGCUAAGCAUGGUCGGACAUCAUGCGGUUAGUGCAAAGGCAUAAGCCAGCUUGACUGCGAGAGUGACGGCUCGAGCAGGUACGAAAGUAGGUCUUAGUGAUCCGGUGGUUCUGAAUGGAAGGGCCAUCGCUCAACGGAUAAAAGGUACUCCGGGGAUAACAGGCUGAUACCGCCCAAGAGUUCAUAUCGACGGCGGUGUUUGGCACCUCGAUGUCGGCUCAUCACAUCCUGGGGCUGAAGUAGGUCCCAAGGGUAUGGCUGUUCGCCAUUUAAAGUGGUACGCGAGCUGGGUUUAGAACGUCGUGAGACAGUUCGGUCCCUAUCUGCCGUGGGCGCUGGAAGAUUGAGAGGGGUUGCUCCUAGUACGAGAGGACCGGAGUGAACGCACCACUGGUGUACGGGUUGUGAUGCCAAUUGCAUUGCCCGGUAGCUAAGUGCGGAAGAGAUAACCGCUGAAAGCAUCUAAGCGGGAAACUUGCCUCGAGAUGAGUCUUCCCUGAUUCCCAGAGAAUCCUGAAGGAACGUUUGAGACUAAGACGUUGAUAGGCUGGGUGUGUAAGCGCAGCGAUGCGUUGAGCUGACCAGUACUAAUGAACCGAGAGGCUUAACCUG
Molecule: ribosomal RNA, 779 nt
Filed under: Morganella morganii
Lineage: Bacteria; Pseudomonadati; Pseudomonadota; Gammaproteobacteria; Enterobacterales; Morganellaceae
Description: partial 23S ribosomal RNA
Rfam family: Bacterial large subunit ribosomal RNA
Source: RNAcentral